Molecule: unclassified non-coding RNA, 334 nt
Filed under: soil metagenome
Description: partial contains 5.8S ribosomal RNA, internal transcribed spacer 2, and large subunit ribosomal RNA
Rfam family: 5.8S ribosomal RNA (bases 1-120)
Source: RNAcentral
GAUGAAGAACGCAGCGAAAUGCGAUACGUAAUGUGAAUUGCAGAAUUCAGUGAAUCAUCGAAUCUUUGAACGCACAUUGCGCCUGCCAGCACUCUGGCAGGCAUGCCUGUUCGAGCGUCAUUUCAACCAUCAAGCCCUAGGCUUGCGUUGGAGCCCUGCGGCUGCCGCAGGCCCCUAAAAGCAGUGGCGGGCUCGCUAUCACACCGAGUGCAGUAGAUUACUCUUCGCUCAGGGCGUGUGGCGGGUUCCAGCCGUGGAACCCCCUACUUCUCAAGGUUGACCUCGGAUCAGGUAGGAAUACCCGCUGAACUUAAGCAUAUCAAUAAGCGGAGGA